Molecule: non-coding RNA, 30 nt
Filed under: Mus musculus (house mouse)
Lineage: Eukaryota; Metazoa; Chordata; Mammalia; Rodentia; Muridae
Source: RNAcentral
UGAGUUAACCUUCAAACUAAAUGUUCACUC